GCCAGGCAUGGUGGCACAUGCCUGUAAUCCCAGUGGCUAGGGAGGCUGAGGAAGGAGGAUUGCGAGUUCAAAGCCAGCAUCAACAAAACUGAGGCGCUUAGCAAUUCAGUGAGACCCUGUCUCUA
RNAcentral lists this small RNA (125 nucleotides) under Marmota monax (woodchuck). The record is from RNAcentral. Lineage: Eukaryota; Metazoa; Chordata; Mammalia; Rodentia; Sciuridae.